AAAGUAGUAUGGAUUGGAUGAAUGGACCAUAGGCGCCGACUUCCCCUGUUUUCCAUGAUGCACAAAUUGGGGGAGUGGUAAAUAAUGAAGAGGACAGGUCACUGUUACAGAGCAGUCUGGAUCAGUAGGCCAUUUAGAAAAGGAAUAUGCUGCUGGAACAGCCCUGCCUACCAAUAAUGAUGAUAAAGGAUCUGAAGGUAAAGUUGGCAUUAAGAUGUGAGUUGAUAAAUCAUUUCACUAAAAAUAUC
Long non-coding RNA from Mauremys reevesii (Reeves's turtle), 248 nucleotides. RefSeq lists it as uncharacterized. The transcript is spliced from 3 exons. NCBI's taxonomy places the organism in Eukaryota, Metazoa, Chordata, Testudines, Geoemydidae. The record is from RefSeq and is a predicted model, not a curated record.